GGCCAGCAUCAGUUUUGGUGGCUGGAUAAAUCCAUAGGAAUGUGGCUUGCCUUGGUAAGUAUUAUAGCCUGUGGGAAUACUGCUAGCUGGGACUGAGGAUUGCGACUUUUGUCAAGGAUGCUGGGUAAU
Molecule: ribosomal RNA, 129 nt
Filed under: Kluyveromyces lactis
Lineage: Eukaryota; Fungi; Ascomycota; Saccharomycetes; Saccharomycetales; Saccharomycetaceae
Description: partial 26S ribosomal RNA
Source: RNAcentral